AUUGAUCAUGAAGAUCUACACAACACACACAUAUAUAUAAUUAGACUUACAACACUUGAAACACAACAUAUACAUAUAUAUGUAUAUAGAAACUCCAUAAAAUGCAAGAUCACACAUAAAAUUAAACAACAGAAAAUCUCUUAUGGAGGGCUUAAUUAAUUUCUUGAAUAAUUAUUUUUUGCCACGUUGUUUGCGAAAGUAGUCGGACGGAUUUUGCUCGAAAUCCUUCCUCGGCAUGUAGCGGCCACCCUGGCCGGGCGCUUUCAUCAUCUUUUCCGGUUCUUUUUCCGAGCUCCCGAACCACUUCGCUAUGCCCCACACCGCCAGCGCCGCCGCACCCACCACCAGAGCAGCUCCUCCUAAUCCUUCCUCCUCCUCCUCCUUCAUCUUUGCUUUCGAUGAACUUCGUCCUCCACCGCCACCGGCCGAUGCCAUUCUUAGCCUCGGAGAUUUCUAUGUAAUGAGUGAGAGAUACACUCUU
This 481-nucleotide long non-coding RNA is filed under the name Erythranthe guttata (spotted monkey flower). RNAcentral describes it as "long non-coding RNA (EGUT_LNC003317)". Lineage: Eukaryota; Viridiplantae; Streptophyta; Magnoliopsida; Lamiales; Phrymaceae. The record is from RNAcentral.